CCGGGGACGGAGAUGUCCGGCUCCGUGUGGGACUGAGAUUUUCUCAUGGGAGAGGGAGAUACUGGAGCACUGCGUGGGUCUGAAAAGAGAGUACUUGGCCUUGAUGGGUGGAGGCUGCAUGCUGGGCUCGAGGACUCUGUACUGAUCCAUAAUCUUCUCCACCAACUUCUGCUUCUCUCGGCGGAGCUCACUCAACUUCUCCCUGGAGGAAAACACGACGCAUCAGAACAAGAGGAGGGUGAAGCCAGUGAAAGAAUUCCCAGCAAAACAAAUGAUCUGGUUUGUGAAUGUUUACUGACUGGUACUCCCGCUGCUGUGAAUAGUGCUGGUCACGG
Long non-coding RNA from Monopterus albus (swamp eel), 335 nucleotides. RefSeq lists it as uncharacterized. The record is from RefSeq and is a predicted model, not a curated record. The transcript is spliced from 3 exons. NCBI's taxonomy places the organism in Eukaryota, Metazoa, Chordata, Actinopteri, Synbranchiformes, Synbranchidae.